GGAAUAUUGCACAAUGGGCGAAAGCCUGAUGCAGCAACGCCGCGUGAGGGAUGACGGCCUUCGGGUUGUAAACCUCUUUUAGUUGGGAAGAAGGGAGCUUGCUCUUGACGGUACCAGCAGAAAAAGCACCGGCUAACUACGUGCCAGCAGCCGCGGUAAUACGUAGGGUGCAAGCGUUGUCCGGAAUUAUUGGGCGUAAAGAGCUCGUAGGCGGUUUGUCGCGUCUGCUGUGAAAUCUGGGGGCUCAACCCCCAGCCUGCAGUGGGUACGGGCAGACUAGAGUGCGGUAGGGGAGAUUGGAAUUCCUGGUGUAGCGGUGGAAUGCGCAGAUAUCAGGAGGAACACCGAUGGCGAAGGCAGAUCUCUGGGCCGUAACUGACGCUGAGGAGCGAAAGCAUGGGGAGCGAACAGGAUUAGAUACCCCAG
RNAcentral lists this ribosomal RNA (426 nucleotides) under uncultured Frondihabitans sp. RNAcentral describes it as "bacterial SSU rRNA". It matches the Rfam family "Bacterial small subunit ribosomal RNA", at positions 358 to 790 of the family's 1533-position model. Lineage: Bacteria; Bacillati; Actinomycetota; Actinomycetes; Micrococcales; Microbacteriaceae. The record is from RNAcentral.